CCAAUAGCGUAUAUUAAAGUUGUUGCAGUUAAAAAGCUCGUAGUUGAAUUUCGGGACCAAUCUGCCGGUCGUGCCUCCGGUACGCACUGGUUUUAUUGGUUUCUCCCUUCUGACGAACCAUGAUGUCAUUAAUUUGGUGUCAUGGGGAAUCAGGACUGUUACUUUGAAAAAAUUAGAGUGUUUAUAGCAGGCUCACGCUUGAAUACAUUAGCAUGGAAUAAUGAAAUAGGACGUUUGACCCUAUUUUGUUGGUUUCUAGGAUCGACGUAAUGAUUAAUAGGGAUAGUUGGGGGCAUUAGUAUUCAAUUGUCAGAGGUGAAAUUCUUGGAUUUAUUGAAGACUAACUACUGCGAAAGCAUUUGCCAAGGAUGUUUUCAUUAAUCAAGAACGAAAGUUAGGGGAUCGAAGACGAUCAGAUACCGUCGUAGUCUUAACCAUAAACUAUGCCGACUAGGGAUCGGAUGAUGUUAAUUUUUUAAUGACUCAUUCGGCGCCUUAC
Molecule: unclassified non-coding RNA, 499 nt
Filed under: uncultured Glomus
Lineage: Eukaryota; Fungi; Glomeromycota; Glomeromycetes; Glomerales; Glomeraceae
Description: SSU rRNA
Rfam family: Eukaryotic small subunit ribosomal RNA
Source: RNAcentral